RNAcentral lists this ribosomal RNA (655 nucleotides) under Gammaproteobacteria bacterium AT-BI-41. Its description in RNAcentral is "bacterial SSU rRNA". It matches the Rfam family "Bacterial small subunit ribosomal RNA", at positions 28 to 672 of the family's 1533-position model. The record is from RNAcentral. Lineage: Bacteria; Pseudomonadati; Pseudomonadota; Gammaproteobacteria.
AGUGAACGCUGGCGGUAGGCCUAACACAUGCAAGUCGAACGGCAGCACAGGAGAGCUUGCUCUCUGGGUGGCGAGUGGCGGACGGGUGAGGAAUGCAUCGGAAUCUACUCUAUCGUGGGGGAUAACGUAGGGAAACUUACGCUAAUACCGCAUACGACCUACGGGUGAAAGCAGGGGAUCUUCAGACCUUGCGCGAUUGAAUGACCCGAUGCCCGAUUAGCUAGUUGGCGGGGUAAGAGCCCACCAGGGCGACUAUCGGUAGCUGGUCUGAGAGGAUGAUCAGCCACACUGGAACUGAGACACGGUCCACACUCCUACGGGAGGCAGCAGUGGGGAAUAUUGGACAAUGGGCGCAAGCCUGAUCCAGCCAUACCGCGUGGGUGAAGAAGGCCUUCGGGUUGUAAAGCCCUUUUGUUGGGAAAGAAAAGCAGCCGGUUAAUACCCGGUUGUUCUGACGGUACCCAAAGAAUAAGCACCGGCUAACUUCGUGCCAGCAGCCGCGGUAAUACGAAGGGUGCAAGCGUUACUCGGAAUUACUGGGCGUAAAGCGUGCGUAGGUGGUUGUUUAAGUCUGUUGUGAAAGCCCUGGGCUCAACCUGGGAAUUGCAGUGGAAACUGGGCGACUAGAGUGUGGCAGAGGGUAGUGGAAUUCCCU